UAAAGGUUUGGUCCUAGCCUUAUUAUUAGUUCUCCCCUAACUUAUACAUGCAAGUAUCAGCACUCCAGUGAGUAACGUUUCUUUCACCUUCACUAGGAUUAAGAAAUUAGUAUCAGGCACGACUACUGCCCACGACACCAAGUUUUACCACACCCCCACGGGUACUCAGCAGUGAUAAAUAUUGUUAAUAAGCGACAGCUUGAUUCAGUUAAAGAGAAGAGAGCCGGCCAAUCUGGUGCCAGCCGCCGCGGCUACACCAGGGGCUCAAAUUAAUAAUCAUCGGCGUUAAGCGUGAUUAAAGUUUUAACAAACUAGGGUCAAAUUAAUGUUUAGUAGUGAUAAGCUUGCCAUUAAGAAAAACAUGAACGAAAGUCACCCUACUUAUUUACUUGAAGACACGACAGCUAAGAACACAAACUGGGAUUAGAUACCCCACUAUGCUUAGCCGUAAACAAUCAACUCACAACAACCACGCCAGGGGACUACAAGCCAUGCUUAAAACCCAAAGGACUUGACGGUGUCCCAUCCUACUAGAGGAGCCUGUUCUAUAAUCGAUAAUCCCCGCUAUACCUCACCACUCCUAGCCUACCAGUCUGUAUACCUCCGUCGAAAGCCUACCAUAUGAGUGUUCUUAGUAGGCACAAUGAUGUCCAUCAACACGUCAGGUCAAGGUGCAGCUCACGUAGUGGAAAGCAAUGGGCUACAAUUUCUAAAUUAGAACAAACGAAAAACUAUUUGAAACAAUAGUUUGAAGGUGGAUUUAUUAGUAAAAAGAAAAUAGAGAGUUCUUUUUAACCCGGCCCUGGGACGUGUACAAACCGCCCGUCACCCUCUUCAAAUUACUUAUUUUUAGUUUAUAACCACACCACCUUAUCCUUAGAAGAGGUAAGUCGUAACAUGGUAAGUGUACUGGAAAGUGCACUUGGUCUAUU
Molecule: non-coding RNA, 932 nt
Filed under: Chalcorana labialis
Lineage: Eukaryota; Metazoa; Chordata; Amphibia; Anura; Ranidae
Description: 12S ribosomal RNA
Rfam family: Bacterial small subunit ribosomal RNA
Source: RNAcentral